This 507-nucleotide ribosomal RNA is filed under the name uncultured bacterium. RNAcentral describes it as "partial 16S ribosomal RNA". The record is from RNAcentral.
GGAGUUAGCCGGUGCUUCUUCUGUGAGUGAUGUCCUUCCUGCCGGCUAUUAACCCGCAGGCCUUCUUCCUCACUGAAAGUGCUUUACAACCCGAAGGCCUUCUUCACACACGCGGCAUGGCUGGAUCAGGGUUGCCCCCAUUGUCCAAUAUUCCCCACUUCUGCCUCCCGUAGGAGUCUGGGCCGUGUCUCAGUCCCAGUGUGGCUGAUCAUCCUCUCAGACCAGCUACGGAUCGUCGCCUUGGUGAGCCGUUACCUCACCAACCAGCUAAUCCGACAUAGGCUCAUCCGAUAGCGCGAGGCCCGAAGGUCCCCCGCUUUCCCCCGUAGGGCGUAUGCGGUAUUAGCCUGGGUUUCCCCAGGUUAUCCCCCACUACCGGGCAGAUUCCUAUGCAUUACUCACCCGUCCGCCGCUCGCCACCAGGGAGCAAGCUCCCCGUGCUGCCGCUCGACUUGCAUGUGUUAGGCCUGCCGCCAGCGUUCAAUCUGAGCCAGAAUCGAACCCUGA